This 199-nucleotide ribosomal RNA is filed under the name uncultured bacterium. RNAcentral's name for it is "partial 16S ribosomal RNA". It matches the Rfam family "Bacterial small subunit ribosomal RNA", at positions 328 to 539 of the family's 1533-position model. The record is from RNAcentral.
ACGCUCGACACCUACGGGAGGCAGCAGUUGGGAAUAUUGGACAAUGGAGGAAACUCUGAUCCAGUGACGCCGCGUGAAGGAAGAAGGUCUUCGGAUUGUAAACUUAUUUUGUCAGGGAAGAAAAAUGACUGUACCUGAAGAAAAAGCACCGGCUAACUACGUGCUAGCAGCCGCGGUAAUCNGAGCGGGCUGGCAAGGC